This 550-nucleotide ribosomal RNA is filed under the name Streptomyces hydrogenans. Its description in RNAcentral is "bacterial SSU rRNA". It matches the Rfam family "Bacterial small subunit ribosomal RNA", at positions 83 to 647 of the family's 1533-position model. Lineage: Bacteria; Bacillati; Actinomycetota; Actinomycetes; Kitasatosporales; Streptomycetaceae. The record is from RNAcentral.
GGGCGGGGAUUAGUGGCGAACGGGUGAGUAACACGUGGGCAAUCUGCCCUGCACUCUGGGACAAGCCCUGGAAACGGGGUCUAAUACCGGAUAUGACUGUCCAUCGCAUGGUGGAUGGUGUAAAGCUCCGGCGGUGCAGGAUGAGCCCGCGGCCUAUCAGCUUGUUGGUGAGGUAGUGGCUCACCAAGGCGACGACGGGUAGCCGGCCUGAGAGGGCGACCGGCCACACUGGGACUGAGACACGGCCCAGACUCCUACGGGAGGCAGCAGUGGGGAAUAUUGCACAAUGGGCGAAAGCCUGAUGCAGCGACGCCGCGUGAGGGAUGACGGCCUUCGGGUUGUAAACCUCUUUCAGCAGGGAAGAAGCGAAAGUGACGGUACCUGCAGAAGAAGCGCCGGCUAACUACGUGCCAGCAGCCGCGGUAAUACGUAGGGCGCAAGCGUUGUCCGGAAUUAUUGGGCGUAAAGAGCUCGUAGGCGGCUUGUCACGUCGGUUGUGAAAGCCCGGGGCUUAACCCCGGGUCUGCAGUCGAUACGGGCAGGCUAGAGU